This 2314-nucleotide long non-coding RNA is filed under the name Durio zibethinus. Its description in RNAcentral is "long non-coding RNA (DZIB_LNC002366)". The record is from RNAcentral. Lineage: Eukaryota; Viridiplantae; Streptophyta; Magnoliopsida; Malvales; Malvaceae.
UGUCUCGGCUCCUCUAAUGUAAUGGCUAGACGGCUCGCAAAAUGGCUCCCUCAAUAGGCUCAGCUGAAGAAGGAACCCCGGGUUUUCAAGUCUUCUACACGGGUUCCGGGUUGGGCUAACAAAAAAAGGUGCAGAUUUUGGGCUAUUCAAAACACCACGUUUCAGCUUUGUAUAAAACUUCAAAAAAUUUAUUUGCGUUUGAACUUUUCCGUUCACCACUCUAGCUGACCGAAUUUUCUCUCACCCUCUCUCUAACCAAGAUGAAUCCCGGCCCAGAUUGUCAAGCUUUCCCAGAUUCCGGGACCGCUCUUCUCUGUCAGCCGUCGUCAAUCGCCGAUCACCGCCGGCCACCAGUGUUAAACUUGUACCAAAAUUCUCAUCGCGAUCCGCUCUUUCCAAUUUCCUAGCUAGAUUUCUCUGAAAACAACUAAAACUCUUUGUACCCUUCCUUAUGGUGGACUACGAUCUCCAAAACCCUAUCCACCGACGUCUGCUACCGCUAAACCGCCAUUAGUGGUGACUCAAUGGCCUUCGAAAAUCCUUAAACCCACCACCUAAACUAUUUCUCUUUCCCUCCCUACCUAAAAACAAGAGUCUCGAAAUCAGCCCACACAACCCCAAAAUACCUCAUUCCCAAAAGGCUUUUUAUUGUGAUUUAUGUUUGUGUUGUUUUGUGUUAUUGUUGUUGAUUGAGGGCUGUUGAUUUUUUAUGGUUCUCUUUGAAAGAGAAUAUAGUUUGGGUCAUUGGUCUUGGAUUUUUUCUGUUGUUUUCAUUGAAUUUUCUGCAAGUGUUCCUUUUUGAUGGUUGCUGUUUGUUUAUAAUCCAUUAGUCCAAUCCUACACAGAAAUCUUAAAUCAACAUAUUCAUAAGGAUUUCGGUUUGAAUAAAUUCAAUCCCCAAAACAAUUUUAUCUCCAAUCAUCAUCCAUUUCAACUUUUGUUUUUUUUUUUAAUUUUUGGUUUUUUUUUUUUUUUCAAAAAUAAAUUAUAAACUAAAAAAAUAAAUAAAUUAAAAAAUCAAAUAUUUGAUAGAGACUUAAGACCCAAACUAGUCCCAAAUCAAUUCAAAGCCUAAAUUGCAAAUUCAAAUUUAAAUAAACUAAUCUAAAACUCAUAUACCGUAAGAUUUUUUAUGCAAAAAUAUCUAUUAAUAAUUUUUUUUUUGAAAACAUUAUUUUUAAAUUUAUCAAAUUUUACUAUAUGGAUUUAUUUUUAUUUCUCAAAAAUUAUUAAAAUCACAAAAUUUUUCAUUAUAUUAAUAAUGUUUUAUAGUUUAUUUUUUAAAAAUUAUUUUUAAAAAAAAUUAUUAAACGUUUUAAUGUGUUGAUAAGAUUUUAUUUUAAUAUUUUAAAAAUUAACUCUCCUAUAUUUUGAUGAAAUUUUUAACAAUGUUUAUUUUUUUUUUUAUUUAAAAAAUUUAAAACAAUAAAUAUAUAAAAUAUAUAAAAAUACAAAAAAUAAAAAUAAUCUUACCAGUUCGGCUUAGUAAGUGGUGUGGCUCGGUGGCUCAACCCAGCUCGAACUGCUGGAUGCUAAAACGAGUCGGGAGUUGCGAGCACUCUAGUCGGAUUGGGCUAACGGAAGCACAUGGAUUCUCUUUUAAUAAAAGAGUGUGUUUUGGCUUCUAUAAAAGCCAAGUUUUUGCCUUACCAUUUAUUUCCCUUCUCUCUCUGAGCUAAUUUUUCUCUAACCUCAAUCUUCCCAAACUCAGAAACGAUGAACUAUAGCACUAGAUUUUGAAAAAUCUCAUCGACAACUUUAAAAUGUCGUUGAAAUUUCGUCGAAAAUACCAAAGACUUACUGAAAAACUCAAUGGAAUUUGGAGAAUUUCUGGAUUUUUUAUAAAAAAAUUUAGCAAAUCCUCCCCUCGACAGAUUUGAUCUCACAAACACUAUUAUCUACAAUUUGUCCUCAAAAUCACACUUAAAACCUUUCAAACCCGGAAAAACAAAUAAAAAAUACUCCAAAUCAGUACCCUCUUCUGGCCAAACUUUCACCCAUCUUUUUUUUAUAUUUUCACUCUCUUUUGUGUGAAUUCUCUCUGUGCAAUUGCUUUCCCCCUUAAUUGUUGCAACAACUUAGGAAUAUAUAAUAGUUGAAUCCUGAUUUAGAUAGUUAUCCAAAACAAAAAGGAGAUUGAGCUUCUAAAAAUUCAUCUAUCUUAAUCUCUAAAUUUUAUUUGAAAAAUUUUAUCAUCAAAGAAGUCCAUCUACUUUUGGAUUUUACCUAAAGAAUUGCGCAUAUCCAACAUAAUAAAAAACCCCAAUUCACUCUUGCACCAUCUUUAUCAAUGUGAGAUUUUUUUAGAAAUAGU